GAAAUAAGUGCUGUGGUUGUGGCUUGGGUCCUGGUCAGAUUUUCUUUUUUUAGUCUUUAGGUGGAUCACAUGUCUGAUCAAUAACAUUGAUUCUAUCAGUCAACAGCUUAUAUACUCACAUAAAUAAUAAUAAUAAAAAAACUACUAUAGAUUACAAAUACAAUUAAGCGAUAACAAUCCAUAAAUGACUGCAUAUCUGUCAGUCACAGGUGACUUUAAAUAAGUGAAUACAAAUAAAUCUGUAACCUGAUGCGGGGUUGCCAACUUUAACUCAUUUGCCAUAAAACAAAUGAUUUCAGCCAGCACACGCUACCCAACUACAUCUCACGGCAAAUAACAAGAAAAUACUAAAUAAAUGGAAUCAUUUAGAUUAAAAUAUCCAAUUUCAUGCAUUAUAAAAUCAUAACUGUAAAGGGAUCUUAAUAAAGAAUUCUUUACAUUAGGCCCUAAAUGAUCAAUCAGCACGGCUCCAGUUCAUCAGUUAACAUCUUGUGAAGUGAAAAUGUGUAUGCAAGAAAUAUAUUCAUCAUUGAGGUAUUUUAACUUGGUUCUGGCUAGUCCAUAAUCCAUAAAAACGAUCCCUCAAACCCCAAGAAUUAGGCCACGGAUCUUUAGUGCUCAUGUGUGCCUGAAGCUACUCUCUAUAUACAGAUGACUGUCUUUAAUCAGUCUGGUAAGGGUUUGUAUUUAUAUUAUUAUAUUUAUUAGUAUGGUUAUAUUUAUAGGCUAUUUGGUAAUUUGGGGGUCUUUGAGACAUCCGCGAGCACACUGACGUCAAAUAUAUUACACAGAUUCACAGCGGCCACUUUUUAUACAAAAACUGUAUUGCCCCCCCCCCCCCCGGCCCUGUUUUUAUUUUCUCAAACGUGUUGUUUGCUGCCUCAUGAGUUUCGUUUCGUUUGUCUUAACAACCAGCUGACCUGAAGGUUGAUAGCUUAGUUUCAUUCAGCUCACAGUUCUCGUUGCCGUUUGGAGGAACAGACUGUCAAAGCAAUGGACUUGUACGACGAAUAUGACUUUUAUACAGCAGACACUGAGGGUCAAGAUGCUGGACCAUCUCUGGAUGACAUGAUGUAUCAAAACUUGACCAUGUAUCAGCCAUACUUACUGUCAGAGGAGGACAUUUAUACAGCUGGUGAUGAAAUGCCUCAACCUUCAGCACCACUGGAUAUCGCUGGAUUUAAAAUCAAAGUGGACUGGACAGAACCAUUUCCAGAGAGAUGGAGAGCAAGAUUACAGAAAGCCCUUCAGAGCUGGUUGUCCAGACUGGAAAGAACAGCAUCAGUCCACAGCGUUAAACUCAUGGACGACCCAUCGUGUGCGGAGGUGCAGAUAACACCAUCAACAGGUGAGAAAAUGUCAUAUAUACAAUACAUUUUUGUCAUCAUCUCAUGGAUGCUAGUAUCUGAAAUAGCUAAAAUACAUACAAUAUUUGUACAUAUUAAUACAGAAGGGAAAAUACCACUGUUGGGGGUAUGGUAACAAACAGAAGAGAAGAUUUAUUUUAAAAAUAAUGAGUAAAGUAAAGUGGAGUGGCACGCUUUGAUCCAGUAUGUUUUAUUUUGCUUUAUUUGAGUAUAAAAUGUGAUUAAAAGGUCACUAUUUCCAUCUGUCAUACAAAGAAACAACGGUUUGAUUUAUGGGUCCCCUUGCAUAUGUAGUUUACAGGGAUUCUCCAUAGGUGUAAUGGUUUUUAUACUGUACAGACAGGAUUUUCUAUCCCCUUAACCUUAACCCUACACCUGAAGCUAAACCUCAAACAAAACUACAGCCAAUUUUGAGUUUCAAAAAACACUGUUUAGGCUGUUUUUUUUUAAAGCCUUUUGGUUUACAGGGACACAUGAUGUGUCCUCAUAAACCA
Long non-coding RNA from Cyprinus carpio (common carp), 1861 nucleotides. NCBI's taxonomy places the organism in Eukaryota, Metazoa, Chordata, Actinopteri, Cypriniformes, Cyprinidae. The record is from Ensembl.